GACGAACGCUGGCGGCGUGCCUAAUACAUGCAAGUUGAGCGAUGAAGAUUGGUGCUUGCACCAAUUUGAAGAGCAGCGAACGGGUGAGUAACGCGUGGGGAAUCUGCCUUUGAGCGGGGGACAACAUUUGGAAACGAAUGCUAAUACCGCAUAACAACUUUAAACAUAAGUUUUAAGUUUGAAAGAUGCAAUUGCAUCACUCAAAGAUGAUCCCGCGUUGUAUUAGCUAGUUGGUGAGGUAAAGGCUCACCAAGGCGAUGAUACAUAGCCGACCUGAGAGGGUGAGCGGCCACAUUGGGACUGAGACACGGCCCAAACGCCUACGGGAGGCAGCAGUAGGGAAUCUUCGGCAAUGGACGAAAGUCUGACCGAGCAACGCCGCGUGAGUGAAGAAGGGUGUCGGAUCGUAAAACUCUGUUGGUAGAGAAGAACGUUGGUGAGAGUGGAAAGCUCAUCAAGUGACGGUAACUACCCAGAAAGGGACGGCUAACUACGUG
This 497-nucleotide ribosomal RNA is filed under the name uncultured bacterium. RNAcentral's name for it is "partial 16S ribosomal RNA". It matches the Rfam family "Bacterial small subunit ribosomal RNA", at positions 28 to 507 of the family's 1533-position model. The record is from RNAcentral.